UGGGGAAUAUUGGACAAUGGGCGAAAGCCUGAUCCAGCCAUGCCGCGUGUGUGAAGAAGGUCUUCGGAUUGUAAAGCACUUUAAGUUGGGAGGAAGGGCAUUAACCUAAUACGUUAGUGUUUUGACGUUACCGACAGAAUAAGCACCGGCUAACUCUGUGCCAGCAGCCGCGGUAAUACAGAGGGUGCAAGCGUUAAUCGGAAUUACUGGGCGUAAAGCGCGCGUAGGUGGUUUGUUAAGUUGGAUGUGAAAUCCCCGGGCUCAACCUGGGAACUGCAUUCAAAACUGACUGACUAGAGUAUGGUAGAGGGUGGUGGAAUUUCCUGUGUAGCGGUGAAAUGCGUAGAUAUAGGAAGGAACACCAGUGGAGAAGGCG
RNAcentral lists this ribosomal RNA (376 nucleotides) under uncultured bacterium. RNAcentral describes it as "partial 16S ribosomal RNA". It matches the Rfam family "Bacterial small subunit ribosomal RNA", at positions 355 to 723 of the family's 1533-position model. The record is from RNAcentral.